RNAcentral lists this ribosomal RNA (301 nucleotides) under uncultured bacterium. RNAcentral's name for it is "partial 16S ribosomal RNA". It matches the Rfam family "Bacterial small subunit ribosomal RNA", at positions 509 to 808 of the family's 1533-position model. The record is from RNAcentral.
CAGUCGCCGCGGUAAUACGUAGGUGGCGAGCGUUGUCCGGAAUUAUUGGGCGUAAAGGGAGCGCAGGCGGACAUAUAAGUCCAUCUUAAAAGUGCGGGGCUCAACCCCGUGAGGGGAUGGAAACUGUAUGCCUUGAGUGCAGGAGAGGAAAGCGGAAUUCCCAGUGUAGCGGUGAAAUGCGUAGAUAUUGGGAGGAACACCAGUGGCGAAGGCGGCUUUCUGGACGGCAACUGACACUGAGGCUCGAAAGCCAGGGGAGCGAACGGGAUUAGAUACCCCUGUAGUCCCUGUCUCUUAUACC